This 229-nucleotide ribosomal RNA is filed under the name uncultured bacterium. RNAcentral's name for it is "partial 16S ribosomal RNA". It matches the Rfam family "Bacterial small subunit ribosomal RNA", at positions 568 to 796 of the family's 1533-position model. The record is from RNAcentral.
CGUGUAGGCGGUUUUUCAAGUCUGAUGUGAAAGACCUCAGCUCAACUGAGGGAACGCGUUGGAAACUGUAAGACUAGAAUCUAAGAGGGGAUACUGGAAUUUCUGGUGUAGGGGUGAAAUCUGUAGAUAUCAGGAAGAACACCGGUGGCGAAGGCGAGUAUCUGGCUAUAGAUUGACGCUGAGACGCGAAAGCGUGGGGAGCGAACAGGAUUAGAUACCCUGGUAGUCC